This 1852-nucleotide long non-coding RNA is filed under the name Pandoravirus neocaledonia. Its description in RNAcentral is "hypothetical ncRNA". The record is from RNAcentral.
UGGCCUCUUUCUUUUUUCUGUUGCAAAAGGUAAAAAAACAGCAGGGGGUUCGAGCAUGUGCGCGCGACGCGAAAGAAGCCCCCGAUCUAACGCCUGUGGCAGGUGGCGCUGCACAAAACUUAAAGAAAAACGCCAGCAGGACAAGACGGCGGCAAAAAAAAGAAGACGAGCGUCAAGAAAACAUCUGGCGGUAGAGCAUGGACGCCGUCACCGUCAGCGAGGGUGCCAUGUAGGCGCGCGCGAUGCCGUCGGCGGCGACCAAAGGCGCGAUCCGCGCCACCAUGUCGCGGUCCAUGACGACGCCCGAAUCGGCACACGCCACGGCGAGAGCAGUGACAAAGGCGCCCAGGUCGCUGCCGCCGCGCCCGGCCGAAACCGCGCUUGUCACACGCGCGCAAAACAUCGCAUAGGUCGUCGCGCGCUCUGAGCGCAAACCCCGCGACGCGCCCGAACAAUAGAUGCACGUGGCCAACAGAUCCGGCGGGUCGACCCCCAUGGCAACACGCACGAGCAGCACCAUCAUCCGACGCUGCACGCUAUCGAUCUCGUGCACGAUGCCCAUGUCCAAGAGCGCCAAACGUAUGCGACUGUCGGGCGCCUCGGGUCGCGGGUCGUCGAUGGCCAGCACGUUGCCCUCGUGCACGUCACCGUGCACGAGACCAAACUCAAAGACCAUGCGACAAACGGCGCGCGCCAAGAGGUGCGCCGCAGACGAUCGCGCCGCUGCCGUGCCAAGCUGUCGGAUGGGCACACCGGCGACGCGCUCCAUUGCCAGGCAGUCGUCCGUGCAGAGAGCGUCCACGGUGGCCGGCACGAAUACGGUACGCGCAGGGUCGUCGGCAAACAGUGAUUGCAUGCGUCGGGUAUGGGCGGCCUCGCCGGCAAAGUCAAUGUGGCGCGCGAGGCCGUCGUCAGCAAUGGCCACAAGGUGGUCUAGUGCGUCGGCGACCAACGCCCGUCGGCACACGCGCGCCACGAGAGCGCGACCCAAUAACGAGCGCAGAAACCAAGCCAGUAUGGCGCGGUCGGCUGCCGCGCGUCGCACGGCGCUCGGGCGUCGCACCUUGAGGACGAGGUCGCCUUCUUUUUUGUCGCUUGGGCGACAAUCAUUCUCAUCGUCGUUGGGGUCAGUGCGCCCGUCGAUGAACGUGACGCCAGGCGAUCUCGCAAAUGACGUAUGGCCUGUGCGCUUGGUCUUACAGGCAUACACCUGGGCGACCGACCCGCUGGCCAAGAGUCGCGCUCCGUCCGGCAGGUCGUGGAUUGGCUCGGGCGGGACGUCAUCUUGAAGGGAUCGCAGUGCGUCGAUGAGACCCGGCGCAAAGAGAUCAGGACGCGCGGUCGCUGCCUGGGCCAACUUGAUGGCCAGAGGCCCCAUGGCGGCCACUGCGCGGCUCGCCUUGCACACCCCCAACCACACGGCCGCGGCGUAAAGCGAUGCCUUCCACGCCAGACUCAGCGCCCUCCACGCCGUUGAAGCCCCCGCAUAAGCACGACGCCAAUCGCCGACGACGACAGCCAUCCUUUGCGCUGCUGCGCUUUGCGAAUCGGCGAUGGUGUCUGCUCCUUGCCUUGCCUCUCUUUUUACUUGUCUGGGCGCGACAACCGUAUGCCUCGACGGCGGCACCGGGCAGCCCUCCUUUUUUUCCCGCCCUCGCACUUUUGGCGUACCCUGUGUGCGCGCGUACGUCAACCGGCAAAAAAGGGCAAAGAAAAAGAUCGCCGUCGGGGACACGGGUGUUUGUGACGUUGCGUCUUGAAGCCUUUCCAAUGUCUUUUUUUUCCAGUGCGCGUGUCCUCGCCUCGUGCGACAAAGAGAGGGCAUGGACAACGUGGCACAGAGAGAGAACCC